GUCUUCUUGCUAUGCAUAAGAAGUCUGACCUGCCCAGUGAAUAAUUUUUAACGGCCGCGGUAUUUUGACCGUGCAAAGGUAGCAUAAUCAUUAGUCUUUUAAUAGAAGGCUGGCAUGAAUGGUUUGACGAGGUGCUGACUGUCUCAUUUAAUUUUUUAUUAGAAUUUAACUUUUUAGUCAAAAGGCUAAAAUACAUUUGGAAGACGAGAAGACCCUAUAGAGCUUUAUAAUACGUAUAGUAUUCAUAUUUAGUUUAAUUUCUUUGACUACUCUAUUUAUUAUUUUGUUGGGGUGACAAAAAUAUAUAAUUAACUUUUUUAUUUAUUUUACAUUAAUUUAUGAAUUAUCGGAUCCAUUCUUAGUGAUUAUUAGAUUAAGUUACCUUAGGGAUAACAGCGUAAUCUUCUUUCAGAGUUCAAAUUUACAAGAAGGCUUGCGACCUCGAUGUUGGAUUAAGAUUAUAAUUAGGUGCAGCCGCUUAAUUUAUAGGUCUGUUCGACCUUUAAUUUCUU
RNAcentral lists this ribosomal RNA (512 nucleotides) under Austrolestes analis. RNAcentral describes it as "partial 16S rRNA". It matches the Rfam family "Bacterial large subunit ribosomal RNA", at positions 1830 to 2597 of the family's 2925-position model. The record is from RNAcentral. Lineage: Eukaryota; Metazoa; Arthropoda; Insecta; Odonata; Lestidae.